RNAcentral lists this ribosomal RNA (394 nucleotides) under uncultured Sphingobium sp. Its description in RNAcentral is "bacterial SSU rRNA". It matches the Rfam family "Bacterial small subunit ribosomal RNA", at positions 360 to 771 of the family's 1533-position model. Lineage: Bacteria; Pseudomonadati; Pseudomonadota; Alphaproteobacteria; Sphingomonadales; Sphingobiaceae. The record is from RNAcentral.
AAUAUUGGACAAUGGGCGAAAGCCUGAUCCAGCAAUGCCGCGUGAGUGAUGAAGGCCUUAGGGUUGUAAAGCUCUUUUACCCGGGAUGAUAAUGACAGUACCGGGAGAAUAAGCUCCGGCUAACUCCGUGCCAGCAGCCGCGGUAAUACGGAGGGAGCUAGCGUUGUUCGGAAUUACUGGGCGUAAAGCGCACGUAGGCGGCUAUUCAAGUCAGAGGUGAAAGCCCGGGGCUCAACCCCGGAACUGCCUUUGAAACUAGAUAGCUUGAAUCCAGGAGAGGUGAGUGGAAUUCCGAGUGUAGAGGUGAAAUUCGUAGAUAUUCGGAAGAACACCAGUGGCGAAGGCGGCUCACUGGACUGGUAUUGACGCUGAGGUGCGAAAGCGUGGGGAGCAA